RNAcentral lists this ribosomal RNA (1345 nucleotides) under metagenome. Its description in RNAcentral is "bacterial LSU rRNA". It matches the Rfam family "Bacterial large subunit ribosomal RNA", at positions 1564 to 2925 of the family's 2925-position model. The record is from RNAcentral.
UGAGUACGAGCUGCUACGGCAGCGAAGUGGGUGAUGUCAAGCUUCCAAGAAAAGCCCUAUACCCGUUAAGGCAUGAUGGCCUGUACCCGAAACCGACACAGGUGGGGUGGUAGAGAAUACCGAGGGGCGCGAGAUAACUCUCUCUAAGGAACUCGGCAAAAUGGCCCCGUAACUUCGGGAGAAGGGGUGCCACCGCAAGGUGGUCGCAGUGAAGAGGCCCAGGCGACUGUUUACCUAAAACACAGGUCUCCGCUAAGUCGCAAGACGAUGUUUGGGGGCUGACGCCUGCCCAGUGCCGGAAGGUUAAGGAAGCUGGUCAGCGUAAGCGAAGCUAGCGACUGAAGCCCCGGUGAACGGCGGCCGUAACUAUAACGGUCCUAAGGUAGCGAAAUUCCUUGUCGGGUAAGUUCCGACCCGCACGAAAGGCGUAACGAUCUGGGCUCUGUCUCGGAGAGAGGCUCGGCGAAAUAGAAUUGUCUGUGAAGAUGCGGACUACGUGCGCCCGGACAGAAAGACCCUAUGAAGCUUUACUGUAGCUUGGUAUUGUGCCCGGGCUCUGAAUGCGCAGGAUAGGUGGGAGGCUUUGAUCCAUUGCUUGUGGGUGAUGGUGAGCCAACGGUGAGAUACCACUCUUUCAGAGCUAGGGUUCUAACGGUCACCCGUCAUCCGGGGACCGGACAGUAUCAGGUGGGCAGUUUGACUGGGGCGGUCGCCUCCUAAAAGGUAACGGAGGCGCGCAAAGGUUUGCUCAGGCUGGUUGGAAAUCAGCCGACGAGUGUAAAAGCAGAAGCAAGCUUGACUGUGAGACCUACAAGUCGAACAGGGACGAAAGUCGGCUUUAGUGAUCCGACGGUUCUGAGUGGAAGGGCCGUCGCUCAACGGAUAAAAGUUACUCUAGGAUAACAGGCUGAUCUCCCCCAAGAGUUCACAUCGACGGGGAGGUUUGGCACCUCGAUGUCGGCUCAUCGCAACCUGGGGCUGAAGUCGGUCCCAAGGGUUGGGCUGUUCGCCCAUUAAAGCGGUACGCGAGCUGGGUUCAGAACGUCGUGAGACAGUUCGGUCCAUAUCCGGUGCAUGCGCAGGAAUAUUGAGAGGAUUUCUCCCUAGUACGAGAGGACCGGGAGGAACGCACCUCUGGUGUGCCAGUUAUCGUGCCAACGGUAAACGCUGGGUAGCCAUGUGCGGAGAGGAUAACCGCUGAAAGCAUCUAAGUGGGAAGCCCACCUCAAGAUGAGUAUUCCCAUGGCGUUAGCCAGUAAGGUCACGGGCAGAACACCCGUUGAUAGGCUCUACGUGGAAGCCGGGUAACCGGUGAAGCGGAGGAGUACUAAUAGACCGAGGGCUU